AAUAAAUGCAGUCGUGGAUAUCCGUGCCCAACGUUUGACUGUCCGUCUUAUUUAAAAAAUUUGUGAAAAAUUUUAAAAUAUUUAGUCACAUAUAAAGUACUAUUAAUGUUUUAUCAUCUAAUAGCAAUAAAAAUACUAAUCAUAAAAAAAAUUUAAAUAAGACGAAUGGUCAAACGUUGAACGUGAACAGUGCAAAACUGCAUUUAUU
Non-coding RNA from Oryza glaberrima (African rice), 208 nucleotides. NCBI's taxonomy places the organism in Eukaryota, Viridiplantae, Streptophyta, Magnoliopsida, Poales, Poaceae. The record is from Rfam.